RNAcentral lists this ribosomal RNA (255 nucleotides) under uncultured bacterium. Its description in RNAcentral is "partial 16S ribosomal RNA". It matches the Rfam family "Bacterial small subunit ribosomal RNA", at positions 524 to 776 of the family's 1533-position model. The record is from RNAcentral.
UACGAAGGGGGCGAGCGUUGUUCGGAAUUACUGGGCGUAAAGGGCGCGUAGGCGGCCGAGCAAGUUAGAUGUGAAAGUCCUGGGCUUAACCUGGGGACUGCAUUUGAUACUGCUUGGCUUGAAUUCGGGAGAGGAUAGCGGAAUUCCCAGUGUAGAGGUGAAAUUCGUAGAUAUUGGGAAGAACACCGGUGGCGAAGGCGGCUAUCUGGACCGACAUUGACGCUGAGGCGCGAAAAGCGUGGGGGAGCAAACAGG